RNAcentral lists this long non-coding RNA (1978 nucleotides) under Homo sapiens (human). RNAcentral's name for it is "HSALNT0196865". The record is from RNAcentral. Lineage: Eukaryota; Metazoa; Chordata; Mammalia; Primates; Hominidae.
AAUUCAGGCCCUUACAUUGUGUCUAGUGCUUUUCUAAGCACUUUAUAUAUAAUGUUAUUUGUUUCACACUACAUCACCAUCAGGUCGGAACUGUUAUUAUCCCAAUUUUGCAGGUGACAAAACUGAAACACAAAGAGUUUAACUAUCUUACUCAUAAGAGAAGGAAAUAGAUAAAACUCAGGAUGUCUGUCGCCAGAUGAGAGUGCCACAGAGGGUAUCAACUCCCUUUAGGAACAGAGUUCAAUGAUCAGUAGGAUAAAAGCAUCUACAUUCAUUUCAUAGAGGCCACAUUUCCAAGAAAAAAUAACAUAGAAUGCAAUAUGUUAGCCCAAAUAAUCAGCAGAAAAGGAGAAAACAUUAUUCUUUAUAACAUUAACAUUACAAGAUAUUAAUUAACAUUGUUAAAAUACUUUGGAAAAUUAUUAGGCAGUACCUACUAAAGCUGAAUAUAUGUAUACCUGACAACCAACAUUUCAUCCUUACAUAUUUGCCAACAUGAAUGAGAACAUAUGUUCACUAAAAGACACAUUCUAAGAUUGGCUUAUUAUUUAGUUAUAAGUCAUUGCAAAAUCAAAUGCUUUGAAAACUACAAUUUUCUUGCAGAGAAAAAGAAAUUAGGCAGUGGAAUACUGAAAAAUUUUUUAAAAUUAUGUAUGUCUGUUUGUCGUUGUAUUCAGGUACCAAACUGUAUGUAGUGUGCCUUCUAAUGACCAAUUUAAUCUCCAUGGGUUAUACUAAAAGUUGAAAGCAAAGGAAACACAAAUCAAAAUUUUAAUUUAUAAUCUUUACCAAUCGAAGGUGUAUAUUUCACUGUCCAUUAUGUUGCCCUAUUCAGUGGAAGAUACUUGAAUCAAAUUACUUUACUGUUAGAGUAAGAUUAAUUAGCACAAUGAAUUUAUCCACAAUUAUCAGUGUUACUUUUCAGAAAUCUUUCACUUUUUGUUGCAGCUGGUUGAGGCUUUAUUCAAUUCAAAUUCAAGCUGUUAAAUCGAGGCUCUCAGACUCCUGCUGCCUGGCCAGUGGAGAAAUUAACUUUCACAUAUGGCUUUGGGAUUUCUCUCUGUCAUCCUGGUCGACGUGUUCUCUCAUUUUUCUGAAGUCUGGGACCUCAACACAGACAUCUGGGUGAAGGCCUUGACAGCAGCGCUGGUGCAAAAUGAAUUGUCACAUCACACCCAACGUUCUCAACCUUUAGAAUCUGAAAGUAAGAAAAACACCUCAAACAAAACAUUAAAGAUUGAAUAAUUGAAGGCACUAUGCUUGGUGCUGAAGAAGGUCUAAGGAGGUCUACACCACAGAGGCUGCACCCACUCCUCAGCCUUGCUGAGCCACACCAUUCUCAUCUCUACAGCAUCCACCUCUCUUGGCUCUUGUAAGGAUUGAGACAUGCCACCAGGCUUACUGUAAGCACUGAACAGCUGGGAGGAUUUGAUGCUGUCCCACUGCCAUACCAAGGGGCAAGUUUUCUGGACUUGCCUAGACCUUAUAGCAGAUUAAGUACUUUUAUUUCACUGAACAAAGUUUAGAGAUCAUUUUACAUCACUGAACAAAGUUUAGAGAUUUGGAGAGUAUUUGUUUUUAAUUUCUAUGGAUCUGCUUAUACUUCUCUUUUGCAAAUUGAAACACCGUGGAAGAUUUUUUGGAACUUAGGUUGAGAGUUGUACAUGGCUUCAGAGUUGCUGUGGAUUUCUAUCUCCAUGGGGCCAUCUGUCUCAUCUGUCUAUAUAAUGGUCAUGCACUUUGCAGAGCCUGCUUCAAUGUCUGCUAUACUAUGGCCACUCUGCCAGUGUUGUUGACAAACAGAUGGGUUUUGAUGGCAGAGAAACUUAUAUUUAGCAAGUCUUCCUUUUGCCCUUGAACUUUUCCACCUGUUGUUUGCACCAGCAACUCCCAUGGCAAAUGUGAAAAAGCAAAAAAUAAGGAAUAUUACAAGAUGGGACUAACAUUAAAAUGUAUGUUUUCAUCAAACAUGAUCAAG